This 253-nucleotide ribosomal RNA is filed under the name uncultured bacterium. RNAcentral's name for it is "partial 16S ribosomal RNA". It matches the Rfam family "Bacterial small subunit ribosomal RNA", at positions 524 to 776 of the family's 1533-position model. The record is from RNAcentral.
UACGUAGGGUCCGAGCGUUGUCCGGAAUUACUGGGCGUAAAGAGUUCGUAGGUGGUUUGUCACGUUGUUCGUGAAAACCCACAGCUCAACUGUGGGCGUGCGAGCGAGACGGGCAGGCUAGAGUACUGCAGGGGAGACUGGAAUUCCUGGUGUAGCGGUGGAAUGCGUAGAUAUCAGGAGGAACACCGGUGGCGAAGGCGGUGCUCUGGGCCGAAACUGACGCUGAGGAGCGAAAGCGUGGGUAGCAAACAGG